Long non-coding RNA from Carassius carassius (crucian carp), 1424 nucleotides. RefSeq lists it as uncharacterized. The record is from RefSeq and is a predicted model, not a curated record. The transcript has 2 exons. Lineage: Eukaryota; Metazoa; Chordata; Actinopteri; Cypriniformes; Cyprinidae.
UGUAGAGGCUUUGAUCUUUAUUUUUUAGUGUAUUGCAUAUUCUAAUAUUCAUACAGCAAAAUAUACAAAUUUGAGUGAAAAUCGUCAAAAUCGCUGACGGUGGCUGGCACCUUUUUUCAAAUAUGCUGGCGGGGAAAGAGUUAAUAUUUACUGUAUUUCUAUUCAAGCAUAAGAGACUUGGUGAGCAUAAGAAAUGUUUUUCAUAAACAUAAAAAAGGUAGUUAUUCCAAAUAAGUACUAAAUAUAAAACAAAACUGGGAAGUGGGCUUCAAAAAAGCACCAGGAAUUGAGCCUGAAAUGAAAUAUGAGACUAGUAAUGCUUAUUGGUGUGUUAAUAUUGUAAAAAAUGUUAACACAUAGCAUGUUAUUUCACAGUAGUACUACUCGUUAGUUGUCUUUUAGUUGAAAAGGUGCACUAAGUGAUUUUUCUUUUGUUUCGCUGGUUAAAUAACAAAGGGUUUGGAGCUUUACACAGAAGGAAACAUUUGGCUGUUCACAUGCAUUUAUUCCAUAACAUCCAUUUUCUUUCAUAUUUGGAGGAUUUUUUUGAGCUGCCUUUAUCUCAUGUGAAGGUACAUCAGUUUAAACAUUUGCCAAUAGGACUAAUAAUUUAUUUUGGUGUAAAUGUUGGGAAAAAAAUUACUUGUGCAUCUCAUCCACAGGCCUGUUACCUCGAUGUGAAUUAUGAUGCAGCAUAAAUUCUCAACUGUGUUGCACUACUGUGAAAUGAUUUGACGGAUGCAUGACCAUAGUUUGGUGAACUGAAUGUGAAGGAAGUCUCCCUUACAUUCCCUUGAAUGCCUUCACACAGAAAUGCAUUUAUCUAUAUAUAGCCUAAUGCUUUCUCAUAGAGGAACAGCCGUUUUAGCUUUAUCUCUGUAAUUAGUUAAACUUUAAAACACUAUAUAAAAGCCUUCAUAGUUCAAUUGUCAAAGAUCAAAUUGUUGUUGUUCAUUGCAAAACGGUUUAUCGAAAUACCAAAAACUUGAUGCAAUAAAAGCACAAAUCCAGCUGUGGUCUGUUCACCAAAGGCACAUUCAUGCUGCUUUCUUCCAGUGCCACACAAUUGCAUCAGCAUUUCAAAGAGAAACUGAACAUCACCUCAGUUUCCAGAGCUGUAGCUUUUCUAAAGCAGUGUGAUUUUGUAUUUUUGUGUAACUUUCUGCCAAUGCAAUGCACAAUGUGUACUGUAAGCCAAUGUAAUGGCCAUAACACAUGUGUGUGUGUGAGUUUGUGUGUGUGUGUGUGUGUGUGUGUCAUCCAGACCCAGAUGCAACACAGGGAUCAAGUAUACAAAGACUAUUUAUUUUUGUGGCUUGUAACCGAUUAAUAGUUUUGUAACUACCACUGAUUAAUGAUUUUGUAACCCAAAGUAUUUUCACACCUUAUUUAAUAAAAACAUGCUGCGAAUUAACACGUUUGAA